AACGAACGCUGGCGGCAUGCCUAACACAUGCAAGUCGAACGAAGGCUUCGGCCUUAGUGGCGCACGGGUGAGUAACGCGUGGGAAACUGCCUAUUGGUGGGGAAUAACGACGGGAAACUGUCGCUAAUACCGCAUAAGCCCCUCGGGGGAAAGAUUUAUCGCCGAUAGAUGUGCCCGCGUCCGAUUAGCUAGUUGGUGAGGUAAUGGCUCACCAAGGCGACGACCGGUAGCUGGUCUGAGAGGAUGAUCAGCCACACUGGGACUGAGACACGGCCCAGACUCCUACGGGAGGCAGCAGUGGGGAAUAUUGGACAAUGGGCGAAAGCCUGAUCCAGCAAUGCCGCGUGAGUGAUGAAGGCCUUAGGGUUGUAAAGCUCUUUCGGGUGGGACGAUGAUGACGGUACCACCAGAAGAAGCCCCGGCUAACUUCGUGCCAGCCGCCGCAGUAA
This 449-nucleotide ribosomal RNA is filed under the name uncultured bacterium. RNAcentral's name for it is "partial 16S ribosomal RNA". It matches the Rfam family "Bacterial small subunit ribosomal RNA", at positions 29 to 523 of the family's 1533-position model. The record is from RNAcentral.